This 81-nucleotide transfer RNA is filed under the name Metschnikowia caudata. RNAcentral's name for it is "tRNA-Leu". It matches the Rfam family "tRNA". Rfam says of the family: Transfer RNA (tRNA) molecules are approximately 80 nucleotides in length. Their secondary structure includes four short double-helical elements and three loops (D, anti-codon, and T loops). The record is from RNAcentral. Lineage: Eukaryota; Fungi; Ascomycota; Pichiomycetes; Serinales; Metschnikowiaceae.
GCGGUUAUGAUGAAAUGGUAGACAUAGAACACUUAAAAUGUUCGGAUAUUAAUCGUAUAGGUUCGACUCCUAUUAACCGUA